RNAcentral lists this ribosomal RNA (504 nucleotides) under uncultured bacterium. RNAcentral's name for it is "partial 16S ribosomal RNA". It matches the Rfam family "Bacterial small subunit ribosomal RNA", at positions 29 to 523 of the family's 1533-position model. The record is from RNAcentral.
AUUGAACGCUGGCGGCAGGCCUAACACAUGCAAGUCGAGCGGUAGCACAGAGAGCUUGCUCUCGGGUGACGAGCGGCGGACGGGUGAGUAAUGUCUGGGAAACUGCCUGAUGGAGGGGGAUAACUACUGGAAACGGUAGCUAAUACCGCAUAACGUCGCAAGACCAAAGAGGGGGACCUUCGGGCCUCUCGCCAUCAGAUGAGCCCAGAUGGGAUUAGCUAGUAGGAGGGGUAACGGCCCACCUAGGCGACGACCCAUAGCUGGUCUGAGCGGAUGACCAGCCACACUGGAACUGAGACACGGUCCAGACUCCUACGGGAGGCAGCAGUGGGGAAUAUUGCACAACGGGCGCAAGCCUGAUGCAGCCAUGCCGCGUGUAUGAAGAAGGCCUUCGGGUUGUAAAGUACUUUCAGCGGGGAGGAAGGCGAUAAGGUUAAUAACCUUGUCGAUUGACGUUACCCGCAGAAGAAGCACCGGCUAACUCCGUGCCAGCAGCCGCCGUAA